CAAGCGGCGGAGCAUGCGGAUUAAUUCGAUGCAACGCGAAGAACCUUACCAAGGCUUGACAUACACCGGUAACGCCCAGAGAUGGGUGCCCCUUUGUGGUCGGUGUACAGGUGGUGCAUGGUUGUCGUCAGCUCGUGUCGUGAGAUGUUGGGUUAAGUCCCGCAACGAGCGCAACCCUCGUCCUAUGUUGCCAGCGGGUCGUGCCGGGGACUCAUGGGAGACUGCCGGGGUCAACUCGGAGGAAGUGGGGAUGACGUCAAAUCAUCAUGCCCCUUAUGUCUUGGGCUUCACGCAUGCUACAAUGGCCGGUACAAAGGGCUGCGAUACCGCGAGGUGGAGCGAAUCCCAGAAAGCCGGUCUCAGUUCGGAUUGGGGUCUGCAACUCGACCCCAUGAAGUCGGAGUCGCUAGUAAUCGCAGAUCAGCAACGCUGCGGUGAAUACGUUCCCGGGCCUU
This 455-nucleotide ribosomal RNA is filed under the name uncultured Curtobacterium sp. RNAcentral describes it as "bacterial SSU rRNA". It matches the Rfam family "Bacterial small subunit ribosomal RNA", at positions 926 to 1382 of the family's 1533-position model. The record is from RNAcentral. Lineage: Bacteria; Bacillati; Actinomycetota; Actinomycetes; Micrococcales; Microbacteriaceae.